ACCUGGCUGGCUCAGUUGGUAGAGCAUGUGACUCUUGAUCUCAAGGCCGUGGAGUUUGAGCCCCAUGCUAGGUG
Non-coding RNA from Herpailurus yagouaroundi (jaguarundi), 74 nucleotides. NCBI's taxonomy places the organism in Eukaryota, Metazoa, Chordata, Mammalia, Carnivora, Felidae. The record is from the annotation of a RefSeq genome assembly.